CUACGGGGGGCUCCAGUGGGGAAUAUUGCACAAUGGGCGCAAGCCUGAUGCAGCCAUGCCGCGUGUAUGAAAAAGGCCUUCGGGUUGUAAAGUACUUUCAGCGGGGAGGAAGGGAGUAAAGUUAAUACCUUUGCUCAUUGACGUUACCCGCAGAAGAAGCACCGGCUAACUCCGUGCCAGCAGCCGCGGUAAUACGGAGGGUGCAAGCGUUAAUCGGAAUGACUGGGCGUAAAGCGCACGCAGGCGGUUUGUUAAGUCAGAUGUGAAAUCCCCGGGCUCAACCUGGGAACUGCAUCUGAUACUGGCAAGCUUGAGUCUCGUAGAGGGGGGUAGAAUUCCAGGUGUAGCGGUGAAAUGCGUAGAGAUCUGGAGGAAUACCGGUGGCGAAGGCGGCCCCCUGGACGAAGACUGACGCUCAGGUGCGAAAGCGUGGGGAGCAAACAGGAUUAGAUACCCCUGUAGUC
Molecule: ribosomal RNA, 464 nt
Filed under: uncultured bacterium
Lineage: Bacteria
Description: partial 16S ribosomal RNA
Rfam family: Bacterial small subunit ribosomal RNA
Source: RNAcentral